AGAAGUGAAAGAAUCUGACUAGAAUCACGAUGAACUUCUGUGACCUUUAUCUGCUAACUCUGCAUUUGAGUGCUUAACAGUUGCAUGCAUACAGGACUUGUCACGAAGAAUGCACUUCAUCAUUGAAAUGUUAUGCUGAGACAUUAUUUCAGCAGUGGUAAUGCCUGAUGCAGCUUGUAUCCUGGUGCAUUAGCUACUGUUCAUCUAGAACUUCUGUGUGGUUUCCUGCUCCCAAUUAAAUCCUGUACACAAGCAGAGUAGUUUAGCUGCAUCACUGCUUUUUUGAUUGAUUCUUUCCUAGGUGGCCAGUUAAUCCCUCUGUUUGGAAUCUCGAUAAAGCUGGGCCUUCCCCUGUUGCCACAGCAAGUUCUGUGAUGAGUGGUCGUCCCUUGUUGUCACAGCAGCGGCAGUGCCUGUAUUCACAUCUCUGACUCCCAAAGGCAACGAGGAAGGCCAGGUAUGGUUCCAGCGGCUGAGGGAGGCCUAUCUCAGAAGUGCUGCAUGCCUUGCUCCUGGAGACCAAGGCAUGGAGGAAGGAGAAGCGAGGUUUGUUGACUGGCCAACAUAUCCCUACAAUGGCAGAAUCUUCAGAGGAGAUGGGCAAGAUGGCUCUUGAAGCCCAAGGAAGAACAGAGUGAACACAGCUGUUGUAAAGGAAGAAGAACUUAUCUCAAAACCAGGGGGACUGGAAGAGGGCUUUUUCAGUAAAUAAAUAUCUGUGUGAGUUGAGUGGGUCAUGGGUUGCAUAAAUGGUCUUACUUGAGUUCAUCAGAAGAGCAUGAAUGUCUUCCUGAGCCAGCCAGGCCAGCAUGGGGGAAGUGUCUAAGUGGCUCAGCCCAACACUGAGUGCAAACACUGAGCAAUCAAGAAAACUAACUUGGAAGAGAGCAACGGGCUUGUGCUGGCUUCAAGCCACAUACUCUGUCCUGGCAUUAGGGAUGCCCAGCAUCCUGACAGCAAGCAUAUAGAGACUGGUAACAAGAAUCACGUUUGUACUGUCAUUUAGCCAUAUUGCUAUUGCUAUAUUGUGCUCGUGUUGUGAUCUCAGUACAUUGCUGCAUCACUCUGCUACAUCAAGAUCCCAUGUAACAUCAAUUAUCUCCAAGUAAGUGAAUUAGGUAUUAAAAUAUUAAGCCCUCCUACUGUGGGCUAUCUGAAAGAGCCUGGUCAGAGAGUACUGGGCUCUGGCAGCUUGCCACUGCUCUCCCCAUGGGGCUGUUAGCUGCAUGGCUGUUCAUUGCCUCAGCACUAACUAAUCCCCUCUCUGAUCAAAGUUGA
Cygnus atratus (black swan) is the source of this 1278-nucleotide long non-coding RNA. RefSeq lists it as uncharacterized. The record is from RefSeq and is a predicted model, not a curated record. The transcript has 3 exons. Lineage: Eukaryota; Metazoa; Chordata; Aves; Anseriformes; Anatidae.